AACCACUCUACCAUAAAUUGAUUUUCCUAAACUCUAUUGCCUCUAAAAUCUAUUUCAACUCACAAACCUAAGGGUCCUCACCAACAUAAGGGUGGUUUAUAAGCAGCCCUGGUGAUGAGCAAAGUAACUUUAUGAACAAUGAAGAAGGUUGAAGGCCAUCCAUGGCCCCCAUCCACAGGCUUUAGAAAAAGUGUUGCUGGUUAGUGUUGACACAUUCUCCUCACCAUCCUAAGGAUGGUUCAUAAGGUAAUG
Daucus carota subsp. sativus is the source of this 252-nucleotide long non-coding RNA. RefSeq lists it as uncharacterized. NCBI's taxonomy places the organism in Eukaryota, Viridiplantae, Streptophyta, Magnoliopsida, Apiales, Apiaceae. The record is from RefSeq and is a predicted model, not a curated record. The transcript is spliced from 3 exons.